RNAcentral lists this transfer RNA (76 nucleotides) under Scapania paludicola. RNAcentral describes it as "partial tRNA-Leu". It matches the Rfam family "tRNA", at positions 10 to 71 of the family's 71-position model. From Rfam's summary of the family: Transfer RNA (tRNA) molecules are approximately 80 nucleotides in length. Their secondary structure includes four short double-helical elements and three loops (D, anti-codon, and T loops). Further hydrogen bonds mediate the characteristic L-shaped molecular structure. tRNAs have two regions of fundamental functional importance: the anti-codon, which is responsible for specific mRNA codon recognition, and the 3' end, to which the tRNAs corresponding amino acid is attached (by aminoacyl-tRNA synthetases). tRNAs cope with the degeneracy of the genetic code in two manners: having more than one tRNA (with a specific anti-codon) for a particular amino acid; and 'wobble' base-pairing, i.e. permitting non-standard base-pairing at the 3rd anti-codon position. RNAcentral also lists the same sequence under 12 other names. Lineage: Eukaryota; Viridiplantae; Streptophyta; Jungermanniopsida; Jungermanniales; Scapaniaceae. The record is from RNAcentral.
UCGAAAUCGGUAGACGCUGCGGACUUAAAAUCCGUUGGCUUUUUAGACCGUGAGGGUUCAAGUCCCUCUACCCCCA